This 1305-nucleotide long non-coding RNA is filed under the name Callithrix jacchus (white-tufted-ear marmoset). RNAcentral's name for it is "lncRNA (ENSCJAG00000054753.2)". Lineage: Eukaryota; Metazoa; Chordata; Mammalia; Primates; Cebidae. The record is from RNAcentral.
CAGAAGGGGGAAGAGCUAACUUGCUGAGUCACUUGGCCUUCGUCUUUAUCCCGUGCUGGAUGCUUCCUGCCCUCGAACAUCAGAUUCUGAGUUCUUCGGCCUUCAGACUCUUGGGCUUAAACCAGUGGUUUGCCGGGGCUCUUGGGCCUUUGGCCACAGACUGAAGGCUGCACUGUUGGCUUCCCCAGUUUUGAGGUUUUGGGACCUGGACUGAGUCACUACUGGCUUCCUUGCUCCUCAGCUUGCAGAUGGCCUAUUGCGGGACUUCACCUUGUGUCCAUGUGAACUAUCUUUCCCAGCUACUCAGGAAGCUAAGGUGGGAGGAUCACUUGAGCCUAGGAGUUCAAGACCAGACUAGGUAACAUAACGAACCUCAACUCUAAACAACAAAAAAGUUUCCAAGAUGUUUAAGAGUGAUCAUAAGAGCUUGCCCACAUUGUGAAGAUGGGGAAUUUAUAAAGGUGGGGUUCUAAAGUAUUUGGAAAAUUUUAAGGUGUUAAACUUAUUUUAAAUCUAUUUGCUAAGUUAUUACUUGAAUGAAACCAUUGUAGUAGUAGAUAUUUCCUAAAUUUAAUAAUUGUUAUAAAUGUUAUAUGCAUGCUCAGAUAAAUUUUAUUUGGUUAUCAAUGCCAAAUUGUUUCAUAAGGGGUAAUAAUAUGAAUAACAUGACUUCUAAUAUUGAGGCAAUAUACUUGUACUUUUAAGUGCUUUUUAAAAGGUUGUAUGUAUUAGAUUGAAACACAUGACUCCAUUUUUGUAGGUCAAAAACGUUCAAGUAUUGGGAAUUUCAUAUAGUUUAAUGUAAAUAAAAAGUCAAGGAAGAAUUUGAUUUCUAUUCUUUAUCCUAGCUAAGGCUUUUUUUUUUUUUUUUUUUUUUGAGAUGGAGUUUCGCUCGUUACCCAGGCUGGAGGGCAAUGGCACGAUCUCGGCUCACCGCAACCGCCGCCUCCUGGGUUCAGGCAAUUCUCCAGCCUCAGCCUCCUGAGUAGCUGGUAUUACAGGCAGGCACCACCAUGCCCAGCUAAUUUUUUGUAUUUUUAGUAGAGACGGGGUUUCACCAUGUUGACCAGGAUGGUCUCGAUCUCUUGACCUCAUGAUCCACCCGCCUAACCUCCCAAAGUGCUGGGAUUACAGGUGUGAGCCACUGCGCCUGGCCCUCUAGCUAAGGCUUUUAAUCUCUAAGUCCCAGUUUCUCAACUAUAAAUUGGGUGUGAUGCAAUCUGCCCUUCCAAAAAGUAAAAAGUAUUUUUCUCUCUUGUUUUAUCCCUCUAUGUAUGUCUGUCUCCUACCUGCCUAUCUAUACAU